AAGAGUGAAGUAGGCAUAUUGAGAUUAAUGAAUAUCUUUGACAAAUAAAGAUGAACUUGUGUGCUUCCAAUUUCCAUCCUUCUCUAGCUCCUUCAAUCUUUCCUCCAAAAGAUCAUCCCAGUAUCCGACGACCGAAGAAAAUUCCAAGGACCUAAUCUUUCUACAAAAACUUUGAGGGCAUGAGACAUUUAAGAUCUAAUACAAAAUAGAUACAUAUAAAUUAUUUGAGUAGGGUAUUUCACCAGCCUUCCAGUGCUUCAUUUUGGGAAAUCUGAUGUCGAUGAUGUAAGAGCAUCGACGGUAACGGCUGCGACGUUCCUUCAACGGAGAAGAUGGCAGUGCCGCAGAGCUUAUGCUCGAUGAGUGAGAAGCAACUGCAUUUUGUGGGAGAGAUAAUAAUGGGUAAGAGGUUGCAGUUACCAAAAUCCAAAAAUUGUGGGAUUAUGGGUUAUUAAUUUGAUAACUAUUAAUUAGUCGAGAUUUUGUA
This 487-nucleotide long non-coding RNA is filed under the name Salvia miltiorrhiza (redroot sage). RNAcentral describes it as "long non-coding RNA (SMIL_LNC000104)". Lineage: Eukaryota; Viridiplantae; Streptophyta; Magnoliopsida; Lamiales; Lamiaceae. The record is from RNAcentral.